This 253-nucleotide ribosomal RNA is filed under the name uncultured bacterium. RNAcentral's name for it is "partial 16S ribosomal RNA". It matches the Rfam family "Bacterial small subunit ribosomal RNA", at positions 524 to 776 of the family's 1533-position model. The record is from RNAcentral.
UACGAAGGGGGCUAGCGUUGCUCGGAAUGACUGGGCGUAAAGGGCGCGUAGGCGGUGGACACAGUCAGGCGUGAAAUUCCUGGGCUCAACCUGGGGGCUGCGUUUGAUACGUGUUUGCUAGAGUGGGGAAGAGGGUCGUGGAAUUCCCAGUGUAGAGGUGAAAUUCGUAGAUAUUGGGAAGAACACCGGUGGCGAAGGCGGCGACCUGGUCCUUGACUGACGCUGAGGCGCGAAGGCGUGGGGAGCAAACAGG